UGUACAUUGAAUGUUGUCAAAAAGUUUUAUUAGUGUCGCGCAUUUUCUGUGUUUUUCUUGCAUUUUUGCACUUUCCCCGCGAAUUUUUCCCCAAAAACUCUCAAGUAAGUCUUCCCUGGGGCCCCCGUGCGUACAAUUGAGGUGCUUCCGUGUGUAUUUUCGUGGUGAUUAAACGUGAAAUUUUUGUCUAAGAAAAUGGUGCCAUAAACUUGUUUUUUUUUCUUGUGUCCGUGCGUGCCGAGAAAAAGGGUGAAGAAGAGCGAAAAAAGCGGAGCCCCAGAAUGAACGGCAUCGUAAAGCGAUAUCAGUGAGUGUUUGAUUUGUACCGCCGCGCCAGAGAUAAGGUGGGAAAUUAAGCGAGGUGUCGAUAGUGUGGAAAUUAAUCGAAGGGGCGCGCGAUAAGGGGCCCGUUGUGUGCGUUUGUUGGCUCAUUGAAGAUGCCCCAAAGUGUGACCUGUGUGUGUUGCCUCCUCCCCUGAGAUGUUGACCCCCUCCUGGCUGUACUUCUGCACUGCUUUGCUGGCGACCUGCGCCGCCGGGAGUCACUAUGUACCUGUAAUCCUCAAUGGGUCGGCCACUGUGAGUGUCCGGCGACUCACAGAGCCAGCUCCUGUCACCGCGGAAGAGCCCCCGCGGGCGCAGAGACUCGCACGGCGUCUCGAGGAGCGCUUCAAGGAGAUCCGGGAUGAUGAGCUGGGUGUGCCGGAUGUGCAGAAGAUGUUCGAUCUGAUGGAAUUUGUGCCAUUGCCACGGGAUGACGUGGAGACGGUGAAGAGGAUGUCCCAGAAGUUGGCAAUGAAGCUGGAGAAGGCACAUUUGGUCAUCUCCAACCUCAGGGAUUUUAUUGUUAGCACAGCCCAGCAGCUCAAUCGUACCCAACUCAAUUCAGUCACCUUUCCCUGUCCCUUCCGGAAUUCCCCUACCGCCACUUCCGUACUCUACGAGAGGCAACAGAGUGACAUUGUGGACUUUAUGAAGACCCUUGAGGAUGUUAAGGACAAUGAGGAGCACUUUGAAAUGUCCCUGAUGAAGGAAUUGAAGAAAUUCAGCCACAGUUCAGCUCAUUUUCGUCGUCAAUACUUCAUGGCGGCCGCUGACAAUGCUGUCGAUCGCACCUGCCCGGACAAUCAGCAUCUCCGGCAACUCUUCACAGCAGCAAUCAGGGAUAAGAGAAUCCUCCUCCUUGUGGAUCACGGAAGUUCCCUCAAUAUGGAUCAGCUGGAACUGACAAAGGCAACGGCAAAGAGUGUCGUGAGCCUCCUUCAUGCCACAGACUCAAUCGCCGUGCUCAGCAUCUCUGACCGUGUGGGGGUGUUUGAGCCAGAACAGCGUCAACACUGCUCGGGGCAGAUGUACGCUGGCACAAUGGAUAAUCGGGGGAAGAUUGCAAAAUUCCUCGAGGGGCUCAAUAAGACAAAAGCCCAGACAAAUCAUACGUUGGGCUUUGAGCAAGCCUUCAAGCUCCUGGCUGAGAUUGAACGCUCAGAGGGUAUUAGUGGGCAGUUUAUGUUCCUCUACAUCAGUCGGGGAUUGCUGUCAUCCCUAGCGGAUGCAACGGGCGUGCUGGAGGUCAUUGCUGCUGGGCAGAAGGCACUGAAACAUCCCGUUGUCAUUAAUACCAUUCAAGUGGUGCUGGAUGAGAAGAGAAUAAUGUACGAGACGCAAUUCCUCUGCGAUAUCACCCUGCAGGACUACAGGAAACACAAAAUUGAGGGAGCAGAACCAGCAGAAGCCGGGCUAAUGCUCACAGUUAACAAGUACCGAAUGGAUGAGGUUUUUGUCAAUGUCACGGCGUUCUUUAGUCAAAUGUUCCGCGAAGGGAAUCUCACGGAGAACAUCACACUUCAUUCGCCCUACCUGGAUCCUGAUACUAAAGACAUUCUCGUGAGUUUAACGCAAACUUGCGAACGUUUUGGAGUCUUUGGCGUUGAUUUGUACCUCAAUGACUUGGCUGAGGAUGUAUUGUACUACAAUAAGUACCCAGAUAGUUAUGCCAUCAUCCUGGACAAGGAUGGGAAUGUUGUAUCGCAUCCUUUCUUCGCUGAUCGCACAUCAGCCGUUGAGAUGAUUUUUCCCACCGAUAUUGGCCACAUUGAGCCACCACCCUUCACUCCUGCCCUUCGUGAGGAGAUUCUCAGUGAGAUUUUUGGGUCGCAUGCCUUCCGGGAUGCAGCUUCCAAUGACACAGUGACGUAUACAUGGCACCACGUGAUGGAUUCAUACGUGGUGUGUAUUGUAACACGCACAGGGGCACUCAAUCGUUCCCCCGUGAGCCUCCGAAGGGUCUAUCCGGGUAUUCAUUACUACUACCAGCACAACAAUGAGGUGUCCUUUGCUGCCAUUCCGGAGAUUGUGUACCAUCGAUUGGAUCUCAUUCCACCGCCUGGGGGGAAGACAAUGUGUCGGCAUUUCAAGCAAAUUGGCACAAUGGACUGUGGGACACUCUUCCUCAGCCCCGGAGCCUUCCAGUCACCCUUCCUGUUUGUCCGGAAUAGCCGUGAGAGUAGCACAAAGGCCACAAUUCACACCAUUCAGAGCCUCAUGGCGUACAUUAGGGACAAAACGAACCUUCUGGCAAAUCCAGGGCUUUUGCCAGCGGUGCGCAAUGACGUGGCAGCUCUAACGCAUAUCAUUGGGUACCUGAAGAAGCAGCAUCUCCGCGAGGGGCCACUGAAGAACUUCAUCAUUCGCCGGUACGUUGCGUCCGUCAAUGGGGUGCUUCUCCUCUACCCAGGCACACAGGUGAGCAAUCAACUGGAAGUGACGCAGAGACCGUGGUUUGGACGUGCCAUGGCCUACCCCGGGAGGAUUGUUGUUACAGAACCCUACUUGGAUGCCGGUGGGGCAGGCUACGUCACCACCAUUGCGCACACAAUCUUCGAAGCAAGACCAAAUGCCCUCCACAGUGCACAGCGUGAUACCCCAAUUGGCGUUGUGGCGCUCGACCUCACAAUGGGCUUCCACUAUAAGCUUGUCCUGGAAUCCGGGGGCUUUUGCUCCGAGGCGAAUGUUAAGUGCUUCCUAAUGGAAGAUCGGGGCUACCUUAUUGCUCAUCCCAGUGUGUUGGAACCAGUGACGGGGAUCAAUUCAAGGCGUCCCCUUGAGCACAUAACCCACCGAGAAUCCUUCGUUGCGAAUGAUAUUCUCAAUCACAAAGAACUCGUGCAGAAGAAACUUUGCAAUGUUUACGCCAAUAGAACCAUUCAGAGAUACUACCAGUUUAACAUAUCCCUGACGGAUGUCCUGACGAAUGUGGUGCACGGAGAGAGGACAAAGUAUCAGAUAACCGUCAUUCCGGGUACAAAUAUCUUCGUUGGGGUGCUCAAUGCUUCCAACGAUGGGGGUGCUUUCUGUCCGUGCAGUACCGUCGAUCGUCUCUGUCUCAAUUGCAAUCGCAUGGAGCAGACGGAGUGUGAGUGUCCGUGUGAGUGCCCCCUGCACUAUGAGCCCCCUGGGGGCACCACAGAAGCCGCCAAAUGUGCAGCAACUUCCGUGGCGGAUGGGGAAGAUCAGAAGUUGGCAACAGAUGGUGUUUGUAUGCCCUUUAUGCCCGAAGCAGCAUCUCCUGCCACGGCACUCACGUACUCUGUGGAUGAUUUGGAGUUGCGUGCGUGCGUGAGUGCUGUGUGUGAUUUGUACGCAACGCAGACGGAAUGUUUGGGUGUUGUGGGGUGUGAAUGGUGUCAAGUGGACGUCGAUGGGGAGACAAUCUUCACACAGCCCUUCUGUACGUCAAUGCAGUCGUGCUUCAAUGGGAUUCUCGGGUCGGCUACACCCUAUGGCGAUGGGCAACUUGGCUCUGCGAUUGUGGAUCCAUUAAUUCCACCAGCUUAUUCAGCCAUUGGCCCCGUGGCGGGAGCAACGAUAGCUCUGUGCCUCGUUGUAGGCUUUGCCAUGUAUUGCUACAGGCAGAAUCAAGAUCCGGGAGGGGCUGAGCACCUCUACGGGGCAGAUUCGCAGGGAGAGAAUCAACUGGAUGUGCCAAUGGCGCGACUGAAUUUCGACGAUAUGGGUGGGCAUGAUGAUUGUGACUUUGGCAAUAGUUCCAAUCAGAAUCUCCUCCCAGCUACGGGUAUUAUGAUCCCCGAAGUGUCCCCAUAUCGUGCCCCAUCGGCAUGCAGACGCCCAAAUGCAGCAGAUUCCGAUCAUGGGUACUCCACAAUGACGCCCCAUGAGGAUUCGGAGAAUCUCUGCUUUACCCUCGCUGACCCACUGUUGACGCACAAAAGGCUCUCAAUGUCUGAUUCAGCGUCAAUCAGUACGAGUGUCUCAAGUCCCACCAAUUGUCGACCCCUUGGCGGCUUUGACAGGCAUCUCGCAGCAGCCCCCGUGGAGGGGACAACAAUCCUCCCGGCAUCGCCACAUCUUGUUCUUGCCCCCGUUACGGUGCACAGACAACUUGAGGCAACUACCUCAUGAUGCGCAAAAUGCAGCUAAAGCAUCUCUCUUGCCGUGCUUACAAGCCUUUUUUUCCCUUUCUCUUGUUGGAGAAAGGGUAGAGAUGCUAAAAAAAGAAUAAUUAAUAAUCAAAUCUUUUUGCAAGACUCGUCAUGCGAAAAAGCAAUCAUUAUUAAAAAUUGUAUCGUCGUUUUCAAUCUAAAAAAAAAUUCUUGUCGUUCGUUUAUUCUCUCUUUGUACAAGAAAAUUUCUUUCUUUUUUUGUAAUGUUCUUGUUAUAAGAAUUUUUAUGUGUAUAACCAGCCAAUGAAGAAUUUUUUUUAUUCCUUCAUCGUGCUGAAAAGUUGCAAGUUGUGUGGAGGAGAAGAGAGAUUUUUAUUAUUAAUGCGGCGUGGCACAGAGUAUUAAAAUAUUUUACAGAAAUAAAAUAUUACGGAUGAGGGGGAAGCAGGGAGAGGGCAAUAAUUCUGUGAUUUGUGGAGAUUUUUAUGAUGCAUUUUAUGCUCUAUUUGAGAGAACUUUGCACUGUGAGGGGCUCCAUCAGUUGGAGGGAAUCUAGAGGUGGAACAAAGUGCUUCCUGUUUGACUGAAUUGAAAUUCAAAAAAAAAAAGUUUUGUGGCCAAAUUUCGCUCAAUUCAAUCCAAUUCGGAGCUUCGGUGCAAAGUUAUUUUGAAUAGACAAACACGUAUUUGUAUGUACUUAAUUUUUAAUCUCUGUAAAGAAAACUACUGAACAGAUUUUUUCACAUUUUUCUUUACAUAAAAAACAAGAAUUUCAGGGAAAAUAGCAUUGAGUUGGGAGUUUGUAGUUUUGAGGGAGAAUGUAGUUUCCCAGUGACAUGGUAGAUGGCACUGGCAUGGAAAUUUUUAUAACUCAGGAUUUCCUGCCCAAUACCCACCAAGUUUGAGCCAAAUUCUGGUUGACUUUACUUAAAUAUAAAAAAGAAGGAAAGAUUUAUAAAAUUUUAAAAGAUAUUUUCAUAAAAAUUGAUCAAAAAUCAAGAAACAAUCAAAAUUAAAUUUUUGAUUACUUAAAUAAUUUAAUUUUUUCCAAACUCCUUUAAGGAAAUUCAGAUUUUGAGAAAGAAAUGAAAAAAUCUCAGUCAAUGGAAGAUUUGCUCAGCAAAAAAUUAAAAGAAAAAAAAAACAAAUUAUUUAGGAAGAAAUACUUAAAAUGGCGUAAAUUUGUAAGACAAAGCGAUAAAACAUCAAAAUGAAAGUCUUAUAAAAAUAGGAUGUCUUUUCAGCGGAUAUAUCUAAAUUAACCGAAAUUUGGGGUUAAGAACUGUCAAAAGUUCUGUCAAGAUAUUUUUUGAGCCAUUUCAACUUAGUUUUUGAAUUUUAGAAAUUGUGGUUAUCCUGAAAGAAAACUUUUAAAUGUUUUUAGGAACUUCCUCUAAUUUUUUCAAAGGCAUAAAAGGGAUAAAUUAGAGAAUUUCUUACAAAAUAUCGUUUAAAAAAAAUUAGAGGAUUUUCUGUUCCUUAAAGGCUCAAAUUAAUGAAAAUUUAAACAGUAAAUAGUAUAGAUACAAAAUAUAAUUUGUUGACGAUGAUUAAAGACUCGAGAACGUGAGUAAUUUAUAUUAAAUUGGUUAAAUACUGACCAAACUUUAAUUAAUUUUGAUUAAUAUCUUUAAAUGAAACCUAAAACAUGCUUAAAAAAUUCAUCUUUGAUCUGGAAAAUCAUAAUUUUCUCAUUAUUUCUCAAGACAAAUUGACUCAAGAAAUAAUCUUAAAUUCCCUCAAUUUUUUUUAAACCAAAACCUACCCCAUACAUCGUGAAUAACGUCCUUUUUAAAAGAAGAAGAUUUCCAACGCCAUCUACCGCACCAGUGUCCCAACUAAUCCAUCCCAUUUUACUACAAAUUCAAUAGUCAAUGAUAGAAGAAAAUAAAAUACGUAACAGAAAGAAAAUUUUUGUGUGUCACGCCGAAGGGAAAGCAAAGGACGUCCUUUUUUGUAGAAAUAUAUAAUAUUAUUAUUAUAUUUAAAUGAAUGAAAAAAGCAAUUCUUAGAAAAAUAAAUAAAUGUAUCGCUGCUUUAAGGAAAAAAAA
This is an RNA transcript of Lutzomyia longipalpis, 6451 nucleotides long. It is a transcript of the gene named VWFA and cache domain-containing protein CG16868, with no coding region annotated. NCBI's taxonomy places the organism in Eukaryota, Metazoa, Arthropoda, Insecta, Diptera, Psychodidae. The transcript has 5 exons. The record is from RefSeq and is a predicted model, not a curated record.